UAAAGUAUAGCUAAGUGGUAAAGCAGUGGAUUUUGGUUCCAUGUACCGAAGGUUCGAAUCCUUCUACUUUAA
Molecule: transfer RNA, 72 nt
Filed under: Acavomonas peruviana
Lineage: Eukaryota; Colponemida; Acavomonidia
Description: tRNA-Gln
Rfam family: tRNA
About the family: Transfer RNA (tRNA) molecules are approximately 80 nucleotides in length. Their secondary structure includes four short double-helical elements and three loops (D, anti-codon, and T loops).
Source: RNAcentral